GACGAACGCUGGCGGCGUGCCUAAUACAUGCAAGUUGAGCGCUGAAGGUUGGUACUUGUACCAACUGGAUGAGCAGCGAACGGGUGAGUAACGCGUGGGGAAUCUGCCUUUGAGCGGGGGACAACAUUUGGAAACGAAUGCUAAUACCGCAUAAAAACUUUAAACACAAGUUUUAAGUUUGAAAGAUGCAAUUGCAUCACUCAAAGAUGAUCCCGCGUUGUAUUAGCUAGUUGGUGAGGUAAAGGCUCACCAAGGCGAUGAUAUAUAGCCGACCUGAGAGGGUGAUCGGCCAAAUUGGGACUGGGACACGGCCCAAACUCCUACGGGAGGCAGCAGGAGGGAAUCUUCGGAAAUGGACGAAAGUCUGACCGAGCAACGCCGCGUGAGUGAAGAAGGUUUUCGGAUCGUAAAACUCUGUUGGUAGAGAAGAACGUUGGUGAGAGUGGAAAGCUCAUCAAGUGACGGUAACUACACAGAAAGGGACGGCUAACUACGUG
Molecule: ribosomal RNA, 497 nt
Filed under: uncultured bacterium
Lineage: Bacteria
Description: partial 16S ribosomal RNA
Rfam family: Bacterial small subunit ribosomal RNA
Source: RNAcentral